UACGUAGGGUGCGAGCGUUAAUCGGAAUUACUGGGCGUAAAGCGUGCGCAGGCGGUUUCGUAAGACAGCUGUGAAAUCCCCGGGCUUAACCUGGGAACUGCGGUUGUGACUGCGAGACUAGAGUCAGGCAGAGGGGGGUGGAAUUCCACGUGUAGCAGUGAAAUGCGUAGAGAUGUGGAGGAACACCGAUGGCGAAGGCAGCCCCCUGGGCUAUGACUGACGCUCAUGCACGAAAGCGUGGGGAGCAAAC
RNAcentral lists this ribosomal RNA (250 nucleotides) under uncultured bacterium. RNAcentral's name for it is "partial 16S ribosomal RNA". It matches the Rfam family "Bacterial small subunit ribosomal RNA", at positions 524 to 773 of the family's 1533-position model. The record is from RNAcentral.